RNAcentral lists this long non-coding RNA (228 nucleotides) under Mytilus galloprovincialis (Mediterranean mussel). The record is from RNAcentral. Lineage: Eukaryota; Metazoa; Mollusca; Bivalvia; Mytilida; Mytilidae.
GUUCAAACUACAGUGCAUACAUACAUACAUACAUUUUUACAAUACAUAAGUGAUUGACCUAUGGCUUUGUCAUACUAUUGAUAUUUUUCGAAUAAGACAUUGUAAAAAUUUACAAGUAAAUGAUGUGAAUAAUCGGUAUAUGAUACAAGUAAAGGAUACUUUGGAUUACAUUCAAUAUACAUGAUCAUAUCGAGAAUAAAUUUAAUUAAUAACUUCCAUAACCCCCCC